CAGCCGUAAACUAUUCGCGUUAGGUGUACUGGUGACCACGAGUCACCGGGGUGCCGAAGGGAAACCGUGAAACGUGCCGCCUGGGAAGUACGGUCGCAAGGCUGAAACUUAAAGGAAUUGGCGGGGGAGCACCGCAACGGGAGGAGCGUGCGGUUUAAUUGGAUUCAACACCGGAAAACUCACCAGGGGAGACUGUUACAUGAAACCCAGACUAAUGAUCUUGGUUGAUUUCAGAGAGGUGGUGCAUGGCGUCAGUGACU
Molecule: ribosomal RNA, 260 nt
Filed under: uncultured archaeon
Lineage: Archaea
Description: partial 16S ribosomal RNA
Rfam family: Archaeal small subunit ribosomal RNA
Source: RNAcentral